This is a long non-coding RNA of Arabidopsis lyrata subsp. lyrata, 648 nucleotides long. RefSeq lists it as uncharacterized. NCBI's taxonomy places the organism in Eukaryota, Viridiplantae, Streptophyta, Magnoliopsida, Brassicales, Brassicaceae. The record is from RefSeq and is a predicted model, not a curated record. The transcript has 3 exons.
UGAGAACCGGAGAUCCGAGGAGAUUGAUUGGAUGGGGGAAAAGCAUUUGGUCCACUUCUUUGAUCUCCUCACGCUGCAAUAAUCUAGUUAACCUGCCACCUCCAUUGUAAUAGACAACCACAUGCAUGUAAGCAGCUGUUGGAUGUCUGAAAAUAUAGAAAUUAUUUAAUGAAUUUCAGUUACGUAGCGACGUCGUGGUUAGCGAGUCCUCAUCUUCAGACUUGUUUUUUGAAUUUUAAUGGAUUGCCUCCAGUAUUCAGCUAUUGAAGGUAGUACCUGUUGUUGAUGGAGUGCAGGUGUAUUCAAUGGUUGAAGCACACAAGCUAGACUUAUCCGUUGCACCUGUCUCAUCUAGUAGAACAGCCAUAUCGAGGAAACGUAGAAUCUCAUGAUCUCGUUCUUCUCGCACUUUUCAAUAUGUCCAAGAGUUGAGAGAUUACGUAAGAAAACUAAAUCCAAGGGCUUACACGAUCCAAGGUAUAUGUGUGGUGUAAAUGCAGUUAAUACAGCUAUUGACCAGCUAGCUUUGAACAAAAGAAUCAUGUGAUUACUUAUGGUAGACCAACACAAAAAAAAGUUUAAGACAAUGUGCUGUCGUCACCUUCUCAUUUUCUAGUAUUUUUUUUGGUAAAAGGAUUUUCUAGUAUU